GCCUGAUUAGCUCAGUUGGUAGAGCAUUAGACUUUUAAUCUGAGGGCCAGGUGUUUGAAUCCCCUUUUGGGCU
Non-coding RNA from Xenia sp. Carnegie-2017, 73 nucleotides. Lineage: Eukaryota; Metazoa; Cnidaria; Anthozoa; Malacalcyonacea; Xeniidae. The record is from the annotation of a RefSeq genome assembly.